CCUGGCGGCGUGCCUAAUACAUGCAAGUAGAACGCUGAAGAGAGGAGCUUGCUCUUCUUGGAUGAGUUGCGAACGGGUGAGUAACGCGUAGGUAACCUGCCUGGUAGCGGGGGAUAACUAUUGGAAACGAUAGCUAAUACCGCAUAAAAUUGAUUAUUGCAUGAUAAUUAAUUGAAAGAUGCAAUUGCAUCACUACCAGAUGGACCUGCGUUGUAUUAGCUAGUUGGUGAGGUAACGGCUCACCAAGGCGACGAUACAUAGCCGACCUGAGAGGGUGAUCGGCCACACUGGGACUGAGACACGGCCCAGACUCCUACGGGAGGCAGCAGUAGGGAAUCUUCGGCAAUGGGGGGAACCCUGACCGAGCAACGCCGCGUGAGUGAAGAAGGUUUUCGGAUCGUAAAGCUCUGUUGUAAGAGAAGAACGGGUGUGAGAGUGGAAAGUUCACACUGUGACGGUAUCUUACCAGAAAGGGACGGCUAACUACGUGCCAGCAGCCGCGGUAAUACGUAGGUCCCGAGCGUUGUCCGGAUUUAUUGGGCGUAAAGCGAGCGCAGGCGGUUAGAUAAGUCUGAAGUUAAAGGCUGUGGCUUAACCAUAGUAUGCUUUGGAAACUGUUUAACUUGAGUGCAGAAGGGGAGAGUGGAAUUCCAUGUGUAACGGUGAAAUGCGUAGAUAUAUGGAGGAACACCGGUGGGGAAAGCGGCUCUCUGGUCUGUAACUGACGCUGAGGCUCGAAAGCGUGGGGAGCAAACAGGAUAAGAUACCCUGGUAGUCCACGCCGUAAACGAUGAGUGCUAGGUGUUAGGCCCUUUCCGGGGCUUAGUGCCGCAGCUAACGCAUUAAGCACUCCGCCUGGGGAGUACGACCGCAAGGUUGAAACUCAAAGGAAUUGACGGGGGCCCGCACAAGCGGUGGAGCAUGUGGUUUAAUUCGAAGCAACGCGAAGAACCUUACCAGGUCUUGACAUCCCUCUGACCGCUCUAGAGAUAGAGUUUUCCUUCGGGACAGAGGUGACAGGUGGUGCAUGGUUGUCGUCAGCUCGUGUCGUGAGAUGUUGGGUUAAGUCCCGCAACGAGCGCAACCCCUAUUGUUAGUUGCCAUCAUUCAGUUGGGCACUCUAGCGAGACUGCCGGUAAUAAACCGGAGGAAGGUGGGGAUGACGUCAAAUCAUCAUGCCCCUUAUGACCUGGGCUACACACGUGCUACAAUGGCUGGUACAACGAGUCGCAAGCCGGUGACGGCAAGCUAAUCUCUGAAAGCCAGUCUCAGUUCGGAUUGUAGGCUGCAACUCGCCUACAUGAAGUCGGAAUCGCUAGUAAUCGCGGAUCAGCACGCCGCGGUGAAUACGUUCCCGGGCCUUGUACACACCGCCCGUCACACCACGAGAGUUUGUAACACCCGAAGUCGGUGAGGUAACCGCAAGGAGCCAGCCGCCUAAGGUGGGAUAGAUGAUUGGGG
This 1461-nucleotide ribosomal RNA is filed under the name uncultured organism. RNAcentral describes it as "SSU rRNA". It matches the Rfam family "Bacterial small subunit ribosomal RNA". The record is from RNAcentral.